CUGAGUUCAGACCGGAGCAAUCCAGGUCAGUUUCUAUCUAUAAUAACGCUUCUUCCAGUACGAAAGGACCAAAAAAGCAUGGCCCAUGCUCUAAGCAAGCCAUCGCAAGUAAUUUAUGACUUUAACUCAAUAUACAACUUGCCUCCCACUAACCUCAAGACAAGAGA
Molecule: ribosomal RNA, 167 nt
Filed under: Scinax littoreus
Lineage: Eukaryota; Metazoa; Chordata; Amphibia; Anura; Hylidae
Description: partial 16S large subunit ribosomal RNA
Source: RNAcentral